This 402-nucleotide ribosomal RNA is filed under the name bacterium. RNAcentral's name for it is "partial 16S ribosomal RNA". It matches the Rfam family "Bacterial small subunit ribosomal RNA", at positions 355 to 776 of the family's 1533-position model. The record is from RNAcentral.
UGGGGAAUUUUGCACAAUGGGGGAAACCCUGAUGCAGCGACGCCGCGUGAUUUAGAAGGCCUUCGGGUUGUAAAAAUCUUUUUUACGGGAUGAAAAUGACAGUACCGUAAGAAUAAGGUCCGGCUAAAUACGUGCCAGCAGCCGCGGUAAUACGUAUGGACCGAGCGUUGUCCGGAAUCAUUGGGCGUAGAGGGUACGUAGGCGGCCUAGUAAGUUAGAAGUGAAAUAAUAUAGCUCAACUAUAUAAAGCUUUUAAAACUGCUAGGCUUGAGAGAUGGAAGGGAAAGUGGAAUUCCUAGUGUAGCGGUGAAAUGCGCAGAUAUUAGGAAGAAUACCGGUGGCGAAGGCGACUUUCUGGUCAUCAUCUGACGCUGAGGUACGAAAGCGUGGGUAGCAAACAGG